AAGUCGUAACAAGGUUUCCGUAGGUGAACCUGCGGAAGGAUCAUUACAAAUCCAACACGUCUCCUUGCCGAGACCCCGUCGAACUGUUCCCCCGGUACGAGAUUCCUUCGGGGCGGUCGAGCGGCGUGCGUGUCACGCGGCUCGGCGGUCCCGACGGCCUUGCCGACCCCUUUAACAACCUAGUGUGACCCUGUUGCUUCAUGUGUAUGUCUCGUGUGUUCACACACACACACACCAACAAGAAACAACUUAUAACAAUGGAUCUCUAGGCUCUU
Molecule: unclassified non-coding RNA, 275 nt
Filed under: fungal sp.
Lineage: Eukaryota; Fungi
Description: partial internal transcribed spacer region
Rfam family: Eukaryotic small subunit ribosomal RNA (bases 1-46)
Source: RNAcentral